CUACGUAUGGGGCGAGCGUUAUCCGGAUUCAUUGGGCGUAAAGCGCGCGUAGGCGGCCUGCCAAGUCAGGUGUGAAAACCGGGGGCUCAACCCGCGGACUGCACUUGAAACUGGCAGGCUUGAGUCUGGUAGAGGGAAGUGGAAUUCCUAGUGUAGCGGUGAAAUGCGCAGAUAUUAGGAGGAACACCAGUGGCGAAGGCGGCUUCCUGGGCCAUGACUGACGCUGAGGCGCGAAAGCUAGGGGAGCGAACAGGAUUAGAAACCCCGGUAGUCC
This 274-nucleotide ribosomal RNA is filed under the name uncultured bacterium. Its description in RNAcentral is "partial 16S ribosomal RNA". It matches the Rfam family "Bacterial small subunit ribosomal RNA", at positions 523 to 796 of the family's 1533-position model. The record is from RNAcentral.